AGGACGAACGCUUGCGACGUGCCUAAGAAAUGCAAGUCGAGCGAGGUAGCAAUACCUAGCGGCGAACGGUCGCGUAACACGUAAGCAGCCUGCCCCAAAGACCGGGACAACGUUCCGAAAGGAGCGCUAAUACCGGAUGUGCCCAUUUGGUGACAUCGCCGGAUGAGUAAAUCGCGCAAUCGGCUUUGGGAGGGGCUUGCGGCCUAUCAGCUAGAUGGUGGGGUAAUGGCCUACCAUGGCGACGACGGGUAGCUGGUCUGAGAGGAUGGUCAGCCGGAUUGGGACUGAGAUACGGCCCAGACUCCUACGGGGGCAGCAAUUAGGAAUCUUGCGCAAUGGGCGAAAGCCUGACGCAGCGACGUCGCGGUGGGGGAGGAAGGCGUUUCGGGUUGUAAACCCCUUUUAGUCGAGGAAGAAACAAUGACGGUACUCGAUGAAUAACGCCCGGCUAACUCCGCGCCAGCAGCCGC
Molecule: ribosomal RNA, 470 nt
Filed under: uncultured bacterium
Lineage: Bacteria
Description: SSU rRNA
Rfam family: Bacterial small subunit ribosomal RNA
Source: RNAcentral